UAUUUUCUGAAGUAUUCGCCAAGCUCUUAUCUUGAACCUACAGUUUUAAAACGGGAGUUCAAUAUAAGAGUAUAGAUAUGGAUUUCUCGUAGUAGAGAAAAGAUAGAAGUACUUUUGAGGACACCCACCUAUCAGCGGAUAGGUUGUCAACGAAAGAGCAGCGGUAUUUUGGAUGUAUA
RNAcentral lists this non-coding RNA (179 nucleotides) under Clostridium sp. CT7. Its description in RNAcentral is "6S / SsrS RNA". It matches the Rfam family "6S / SsrS RNA". Rfam says of the family: E. coli 6S RNA was the first non coding RNA to be sequenced, but its function was unknown until recently. It consists of 184 nucleotides that fold into an extended hairpin structure with a large single-stranded internal bulge. The 6S RNA specifically associates with RNA polymerase holoenzyme containing the sigma70 specificity factor. The record is from Rfam by way of RNAcentral. Lineage: Bacteria; Bacillati; Bacillota; Clostridia; Eubacteriales; Clostridiaceae.